RNAcentral lists this long non-coding RNA (1540 nucleotides) under Equus caballus (horse). RNAcentral's name for it is "lncRNA (ENSECAG00000055765.1)". The record is from RNAcentral. Lineage: Eukaryota; Metazoa; Chordata; Mammalia; Perissodactyla; Equidae.
GGCUGGCACCAGAGAUCGAAAUUCCUAGCCCGGCUGCAGGUGUUUGCUGCCUUAUUAACUGUUAAUCGGCGCGGCUAGGGAUGGAGACUUAAUUGGCCCCCAGAGUGGGACACAAGUGAGCCAGCCCAGCGCUGCCAGGCUCUCAGCCGGUCCCUGGAAGCCUUACCUGUGGAGCACAGGUGGCUACCGGGAAAGGAGUUGGCCCAUGGCCAUCCGCCAGCAGACAGCAUUCCUGCAUGCAGCGGUCAGAGUGACAACUGCAGGGUACUGCCCCCACGGAAUCCUACCUCCUCCAGGAAGCCAAUCAAGCAAUCAAAAUCCAGCUCCUACACUCCCUCUCCAUCACCAACAACUUUUGUCUACCCAGGAUAGGAGCCAACCUCAUUUAUUUUCAUUAUCGGAACCUAAUUGAGGACUACAGGACCAACACAGAGUGGAACUGGUCCUCCUUUAACGCCUCCUCUGCCUCUCCUCUGUGCCUAGCAGCCAAGGCUGUUAAGGUUAUAGAGGCACUGGGAGAAAGAAGAGCAAGGAGAAGGAGCUUCUCCCAGAGCAGGAAGGUGAAGUUAGACCCAGGAAGGACUGCCCAGCUUUUGAAGAGGCUGUCUGGAACAAUUAGAGUUCAAAUAAGAACAAGAACUUCCAGGAGGAGGUCUGCUGCUCCAUCCCAGCCAUGCUCGAGGAGUCCUCCUCAGCCUCUGCUUUCAUAGCCCCAAUGACAGGGAACUCACCACCUGCAAGGCACUGCUACACAGCUGCAGCAGUGAUGGGGUUCUCUCUGCUGAGCUGACCUCUGCCUCCCCCUACCCCAAGUCACAGCAUAGGAGUCCCAAUUGUCCACAGUGAGGACACUGAGGCCCAGAAAGGGCAAUGGAGUGGCCCUGGGGUCCCCCAGUCCUCUCUGGCAAAGGCUCAGAUAUGUGGCUCUCCAAGCACAGUCUGUGCCUUCAGACUCCCACUGGACUCUGCUCCACCCCAGACAUCUCAGUCCUGGAGGGGACUUUCUUGGUCACUACCUUCUUAGCUCUGGUCUUUAAACUUCCCAACCUCAGCUGCCACUGCUGCAGCCACCUCAGGCUCCAGUGCCUCUGAGACAAGAAAACAAGGUUUCUGGACACAGUUGGCCCCUGAAAGAGACAAGAGUGUAAGGGUGUGAACAUGUGUGUGGUGGUGGUGAUGGGGUGCAGUGGGGGGCGGGGUGGCCAUGCUUCACCAACCUGGUCUCCGGCCUCCAGGAAUGAUAAACAGGCAAACCCAUAGUCCUCGUCCUGUGCCUCAAAUCCAGUCUGCCCUGACAUCUAGAAGAUCUUCUCGGUCUUUACUUGUCAUGUCUUGAGCUGAUAAGGAAGCAGAUCUGCUUUGGCUGGGUCCUGAGAGGAGCUGGUCUCCAUGGAGGGAGGGAGGGAGCUACCACUGAGCGCCUACUGUGUGCCAGAAACAGCAAUAAGUGUAUGCAAAAGUGGCAUCUCAUUGAACCCUCACAUAAUCUGACGAGUUAGAGAUUAGUAUCCCCAUUUACAGAGAAAGAAACUGAGCCAUA